GGCGAUAGCUGAGAUUCAUCAAGAAGCAACAAAAUUAUGAUUAUGUAUAUACAUAUAUAUAUAUAUAUAAACUCACUUGAUCAAGAAAUGGGGAACAUUUUGGGAACAUUGAAGCGCCGCGUGCAACCAGUUAAUAUAUGAAAGUAAAGAACUCUGUGCCGUACCACAUCGAGGAAUUUGUUUCAAGCUUAUGACGACGCUUGCUUCAUUCAAUAUAUAUUAUAACUAGCUGGCAUUGCCCGGCCUUGCGCGGUCCAAGCUUGUCGCUACCUGCUGAAGUCUAGUCAAACGAACUUCAACUCUCCAGUCAAUUUCUAUCAAGAAUUUUGGAGUCAACAUUUUGGACCUGAACGUAGUCUCAGCAUAGUUGCCUUUUCUUAACAUUCCAAAAAUUACUAGUUUUACAAAUUUUAAGUUUCUCCCGUUAUUGACAAGCAGCAUGCAAUGCGACGAAGGACUGGGAAGCACUUUGCCCUGGUGUCAUAAAUGUUGUGUCUGGAGUGUAAUUUUCUGUUGCCUUUUUAGCAUAUUUAUAGGUCUCGGCGUUGCGAUUGGUUUGACGCGACAAUAUGAAUACACACUUUUUUAAUAGUUUUAUAACCGUUACCGUUAUAUAAAUAUAUAUAUUAAAUGUGUGCAAGAAGCCAAGUAAAGCGGAUCGGAUCGAUGGACUUUAUCGUAUAUUUUAUCGGGCGACUAUAUCAUAUAGCUCUAUUAUGGGAAGAAUUCGUUUGCGGCUGACAUUUUGUAAGGCAAAGUUUUCUGUUUGGUAAAACAUCAAAAAGCCCCACAAUUGCUCAAGAUUUUAUACCUAAGAUCGCAGAUAUAAUAAUAAAAAUAGACUUUUUACAAUUUCAA
Molecule: long non-coding RNA, 858 nt
Organism: Drosophila montana
Lineage: Eukaryota; Metazoa; Arthropoda; Insecta; Diptera; Drosophilidae
Exons: 2
Source: RefSeq, a predicted model, not a curated record